RNAcentral lists this ribosomal RNA (405 nucleotides) under bacterium. Its description in RNAcentral is "partial 16S ribosomal RNA". It matches the Rfam family "Bacterial small subunit ribosomal RNA", at positions 355 to 776 of the family's 1533-position model. The record is from RNAcentral.
UGGGGAAUCUUGCGCAAUGGGGGGAACCCUGACGCAGCGACGCCGCGUGCGGGACGGAGGCCUUCGGGUCGUAAACCGCUUUCAGCAGGGAAGAGUCAAGACUGUACCUGCAGAAGAAGCCCCGGCUAACUACGUGCCAGCAGCCGCGGUAAUACGUAGGGGGCGAGCGUUAUCCGGAUUCAUUGGGCGUAAAGCGCGCGUAGGCGGCCCGGCAGGCCGGGGGUCGAAGCGGGGGGCUCAACCCCCCGAAGCCCCCGGAACCUCCGCGGGUUGGGUCCGGUAGGGGAGGGUGGAACACCCGGUGUAGCGGUGGAAUGCGCAGAUAUCGGGUGGAACACCGGUGGCGAAGGCGGCCCUCUGGGCCGAGACCGACGCUGAGGCGCGAAAGCUGGGUGAGCGAACAGG